CUUUUUACUGCUGCUCCCCAAGCCCUCCACUGUCCUCUGCCACAAGCAGCUCGUCGUAAAACAGCCCUUAGCAAAGUUAAUAGUUGUGGCAUUAUGGAAAUCAAAGUCAUUUGCAUGAUUUCCUUCAUGGCCCGAAUCCAUAGCUUCCAGCUGGCACCCGCAAUCCUUCCUAAGAAGAUGGAUGUCUUUGAGCCAGGCCUGUCAUUUGCUGAGGCAAACAUGUGCCGUGCAGUGCCUGCAGAGUGGGGUCUGGGGAAGCUGCCCGAAAAUAAAUGAUGGCCGACAGCAACUUAACGGAAACUUUGGAAGCAGGAUAAUGAGAAGCAAGGCUGAUUUUGUUCUCUUCCUACAAACAGCAUUUGGUCUUCAGUGUUAUCUCUGUAAGAGGGAAAUAAAUAGAAAGUCACAAUCUGUCUCUUUGGCAAGAUGAAGAGCUUGUGUCAGAAAUGGACUGGAUGUGUUUAAGAGGUCAAGAAAGAAGAUGUCCUUUCUGAAAUGGAUUGAAAUCUCCAGGGCUCUUUGAAGCCUCUUGCCAUUCCUUUUGAACAGAUGUUGA
Molecule: long non-coding RNA, 556 nt
Organism: Lacerta agilis (Sand lizard)
Lineage: Eukaryota; Metazoa; Chordata; Lepidosauria; Squamata; Lacertidae
Exons: 3
Source: RefSeq, a predicted model, not a curated record